GUCUCCGUUUGUUUAUACGUAAACACGAGGCGCCACUGAAAUACUAUUUUUUUUGUAUUAACAAUGUAAGACAAUAAAAUUAUGUUUAAACAACGGUUCCUGAGCGCAGCGCGUUAGAACGUCGUAAGACAGUUGUUUCUACGAUUUCCAUAGCCGAUAAAUACUGAACAUCCUCACCGUUAAUAUCAAACGCUAAAAUGCUGUGUGUAUCACAAAACUAUUGGGGAUAUUUAUACAAACAUUGAGGUCAGUUAUUGAAAAUGGUUUUACGCAGUUCAGCUGGUCGGCGAGUCUCGCGUGAGUUUUAGUUUGAUAAUUUUUUUUCUAAUAUACAUU
Rhopalosiphum padi (bird cherry-oat aphid) is the source of this 336-nucleotide long non-coding RNA. RefSeq lists it as uncharacterized. The record is from RefSeq and is a predicted model, not a curated record. The transcript has 3 exons. NCBI's taxonomy places the organism in Eukaryota, Metazoa, Arthropoda, Insecta, Hemiptera, Aphididae.